This is a long non-coding RNA of Anthonomus grandis grandis, 250 nucleotides long. RefSeq lists it as uncharacterized. The transcript is spliced from 2 exons. NCBI's taxonomy places the organism in Eukaryota, Metazoa, Arthropoda, Insecta, Coleoptera, Curculionidae. The record is from RefSeq and is a predicted model, not a curated record.
UGUAUGGGACUCGAGUGCAUCCUGAAACCGAGCAGGCGAUUAUUAAUGCUGUUACCCAAAAUCCGCAAGGUUCAACCAGACAAUUUUCCCGUGAAUUGAAUAUGCCAAGUACCCGUAUCCACAGAGUAUUGAGAAAAAAUCGCUAUCGCCCCUAUAAACUUCAUAUCAGUCAAGAACUUAGGCAUGGAGAUACCGAUAGAAGGCUUCAGUUUUGCAAUUGGUUGAACGAAAAACUGCAAGAUGAAGACUU